Molecule: long non-coding RNA, 271 nt
Filed under: Nicotiana benthamiana
Lineage: Eukaryota; Viridiplantae; Streptophyta; Magnoliopsida; Solanales; Solanaceae
Description: long non-coding RNA (NBEN_LNC013254)
Source: RNAcentral
UUGUUAGGCAACAUUGGUAGUGGGUCGAGUGUAGGUGCCAUCAACAAAGCUGAUUUUAUUUUUAGCCGACAAGGCAAGAAGAACUUUUCAUCUCCAGCCCCCAAAACCACUACCCGAGAAUGGGAUGGGAACAAGUGGUACCCCAGGGACAUCAGACGAGUACAGGAAAAGGGGACUAGAGGAAUCUACAGGAGUAGAAGCACCAGUACUUGUGCUAGAAGCCAUAAUGAACCGGCUUAGACAAAUAACUUGUCAACAAACAGGAUGCUAU